AGGAUCAUUUAAGAAUGAUGGAUGAAGAAAAGAUUGAUCUGGGUUUGCUAACAGUGAUUGCUAACAAGAUUGCUGAACUAAUCUGGACCGAAGGGUGUAGUCCUCCAGCUGUCGGUACUAUAUACAGUCAACUGACAGUCUUCAGAUACCAACCCUUUCCAGGAACUGCCUCUGGUUGAAGGGAACCACCUUGCUCCAAGUCAGAUCUUUAUUUGAGGGGCAGCUGAAGUGAAUGCCUGGCCUAUGAGGUGCUUGAAGAUCAAACACAUUUUCCUGACUCUGGGAGGACUGUUGCAGCCCCGGAGCUUGGUGUGGAGAGGCGAGGCUAUGCGAUUCAUGUUAGCCAAUGCAAAGGCAAAUAACUAGGGCUGACCUUGGUCUGACAAAGCAGAGACGAAUUCCUGGCCUGUGAUAGAAGAAAAGAAAGGCAGUCAGGACAGAGUUCUGGAGUUCACUUGGAUGCUACCAUGACUCGGCCUUACUCUACUCCACGUUGCUGGGCACAUUCAGAGACUGUGUAUGUCUGUGGGUAAGAACAGAGUGGUGCUUGACAAAAAAAAAAUCCACAGAAGUGGAAGAGAAGGCAGGCAUGGUAGCACUUGAGAGACAGAGGCAGGAGGAUCACGAGUUCAGGGCCAGCCUGGCUACAAAGUGACUUCAAGGUCAAUCUGAAUUGUAUGAGACUUUAUCUCAAAAACAAAACAAAACAAAACAAAACAAAAACAAAAACAAAAACAACAAAAACAACAACAACAAAACCCCCCAAAAAACCCAAAACAAAAACAAAAAUGUCCAGCCAAACCACCGUUGUGGUAUUAUUAAGAAAGACAGUGUGCUGAUAGUUGAUUGUUGUCUUAACACAAAGUAGAGACACCUGGGAAGAGGGGAUCUCAAUGGAGGAAUCAUCUCCAUCAGAUCGGGCUGUGGGUAUGUCUGGCACUUUCUUGAUUAAUGAUUGAUGUAGGAGGGCCCAGCCCACUGUGGGUGGCGCCAUCCCUGGGCAGGUCACCCUGAGUUAUAUAAGAAAUUUAGCUGAGUAAGUCAUGGAAAGAAGGCAGUGUCUCUCCAGGGUUCCUGCCUCCAGGUUCCCGCUUGAGUCCCUGCUUGGCUUCUCUUGGUGAUGGGGGACAUGGUCGGCAAUGGAAAUAAACCAAAUAAACCCUCCCUCCCCCGCUUCUUGCUUUGAGUCAUGGUGUUUAUCAUAGUAAUGGAAAGCAAAUUAGAACAGACAGGAAGAAAACUGUAAUGUUAAACUUGUUACAUUUUAAUAGUUUCCCUUCAUGGGGUUAUGAAAAUGCUAUUAGAUAUUUGCAUUGCAAUAGCAGUAUAAAUAAAUCCCCAACAAUUAUUGUAUUAUCCAUUACAUUUUUUUCUAUUAGUUAUUAUAAUUUUUACAUAUUUAACAUUUUUUGUGCGGUCCUUCUCAUUAGCAUCGUUUUCUCUCCUUUUGCUCCCUGGGCAUAAUUUUGAAGAUCACUCUCUAUGCUGGUAAAGACGGCAGGCUGACGCCAGCUCUUGACUUGAUACUAGCUGGAGGCCUUCUUUGAAUGAAAGAAGAUUCAUUAAAAAAAAAAAAAGGAGUUACUAUGCAGAUCUUUGCAACAGGCAAUUAUAGUACCAUAAUGUGUUAUUGUUAAACAUUUCCUGAUUCAUUUAUUUUGUAUUUAUUUAUUUUGUAUUUUUUAAAAUGGGCUGUGUUUCAGAAUUUGUAACUAACUCAGUUAUUUGAAUUUGAAAUAUACUCUGUUCCUUCCUCCCUUUCUUCCAUUAUCAUGAUGGAACCCCGAAAUUUGUGCAUAUUAGGUGAGCCCUCUACCAUCAAACUACAUCCUUAGCCCCUAAGAUACAUUUUCUUCUAAAACAGUAAGUACUACGGCAUACUUCAGUUGUCCUCAAGCCCACAGCUUUCCUUCAUUAACUCAACAAACUGUUCUACCAAACCAACCAACCAACCAACCAACCAAUCAAAAACCCUCUCAAUGUUAUGAAGUUGUGUGCAAGAGUCCCAGACCCUGGGGCUGGAGAGA
Molecule: non-coding RNA, 2027 nt
Organism: Peromyscus maniculatus bairdii (prairie deer mouse)
Lineage: Eukaryota; Metazoa; Chordata; Mammalia; Rodentia; Cricetidae
Source: RefSeq, a predicted model, not a curated record